Molecule: long non-coding RNA, 721 nt
Filed under: Setaria viridis
Lineage: Eukaryota; Viridiplantae; Streptophyta; Magnoliopsida; Poales; Poaceae
Description: long non-coding RNA (SVIR_LNC004299)
Source: RNAcentral
AAGAUGUUUCCCCAAGCUUAUCAUUGAGGCACCCUUGCGAUGAUUUUUUUGGAGAAGUUUCUCCAAUGGGUAGCCUAAGAGAAGAUCUAAAUCGAGGACGACAAAGAUGUGGAAAUCAAUAUGAACCUUGGUUUUGUCUAUUUUAAUUGGCACGGCCCUUGCAAUCCCUCAACAUUCAAAGAUAAGUGCCGAGGGACUUUUGAGGAGUUUGUCAAUCAGGACUAGAGGCAUGUUUCCAAAAGAAAGUGUUUGUCAGGAAUUUGGACAUGAUACAAGCCUCAGCAGUGGGGACGUGAAGGGCUUCUAUGGCAGUUCCCCUCAUCGAACAACAGAUGGUCAUGGUCGGGGAUAGAUCCCUAGUACCCGCAAGGAAGGAAGAAGACGGACUCCUACUAGAAUUCCUCUGUAAUCCUCCUAGGACUCAUACCACGUAAUCCUACUAGGACUCUUCCUUGUAACCGACUAGUUAUCCCACCUCCUGGAGUAUAUAAAGAAGGGCAGGGGUACCUAGAUCAGCAGGGACAACAAAGGAUCAAAUUCUCAUACCUCAACACCCAAGCGCAGGGCAUAAUAUACAACACCCCAAACAAGACGUAGGGUAUUAUGGUACUUAGGCGGCUCAAACCUAUAUAAAUUUAUAUCUUGUGUCCUUGCUUUUACCUUCAAGUUCUAGGUUCAGCGAUUCCCCACCAACCAAUCUACCACCUUGGGUAACCCCUCG